UGGGGAAUUUUGGACAAUGGGGGCAACCCUGAUCCAGCCAUGCCGCGUGAGUGAAGAAGGCCUUCGGGUUGUAAAGCUCUUUCAGCCGGGAAGAAAUUGCACGCUCUAACAUAGCGUGUGGAUGACGGUACCGGACCAAGAAGCACCGGCUAACUACGUGCCAGCAGCCGCGGUAAUACGUAGGGUGCGAGCGUUAAUCGGAAUUACUGGGCGUAAAGGGUGCGCAGGCGGUUUGCCAAGACAGGCGUGAAAUCCCCGGGCUUAACCUGGGAACUGCGCUUGUGACUGGCAGGCUAGAGUACGGCAGAGGGGGGUGGAAUUCCACGUGUAGCAGUGAAAUGCGUAGAGAUGUGGAGGAACACCGAUGGCGAAGGCAGCCCCCUGGGCCUGUACUGACGCUCAUGCACGAAAGCGUGGGGAGCAAACA
RNAcentral lists this ribosomal RNA (427 nucleotides) under uncultured bacterium. RNAcentral describes it as "bacterial SSU rRNA". It matches the Rfam family "Bacterial small subunit ribosomal RNA", at positions 355 to 774 of the family's 1533-position model. The record is from RNAcentral.